Molecule: long non-coding RNA, 606 nt
Organism: Drosophila subpulchrella
Lineage: Eukaryota; Metazoa; Arthropoda; Insecta; Diptera; Drosophilidae
Exons: 3
Source: RefSeq, a predicted model, not a curated record
ACAAGAAUCACAGGGGUUGGAGAAGUUUUAACUUGUUUGAAGCGCCAGGCUUUUUUUUGGAAAUCCGUACAGGAUAGUUUUAGAUCGUGGAGCUGCAUUCACAACCCACCUGUGAAGGAGUACUGCGAUAGGGAGAAAAUCCAACAUUUGCCGAUUGCAACAGGCGUAACAAAAAGAAACGGACAAGUAGAACGCAUGCACAAAAUUGUUGUUCCAAUGCUCUCCAAAAAGGUGAGAAAUGCUGAUUUCGGAAUUGCUUCACCUAUAUGCGAAAACUUUGAUUGACGUUGCUAGCCUUUGUGGGCGUUACAGUGGGCAUGGCACACUUGGAUAACAAAUUUGCGCUGAGUUAGAAACAACCAGAAGAAGCCGAUUUGUGUAGGUUACGCAAUGAAGUGAAACAAAACAGGGACGUGAUGGAAGCCCCAGCAGGCUGCCAGCCAGUCAACACACUAAUCCAGUGACUCUUGUAGGCAGUCAGCCAAAUAGCGGGACUCAUGACUGAAUGUGAAACUAACAUACCGUCCAAACGAGCUUGUCCCACUUACUGUUUUUGCUGUGGCAGCAGCAUCGGCAUCGUCUUCUGUACCCAAAUUGAGCCUAGCC